GACGAACGCUGGCGGCGUGCCUAAUACAUGCAAGUCGAGCGCUCAAGGGUGGUACUUGUACCAACUGGAUGAGCAGCGAACGGGUGAGUAACGCGUGGGGAACCUGCCUUUGAGCGGGGGACAACAUCUGGAAACGAAUGCUAAUACCGCAUAAAAACUUUAAACACAAGUUUUAAGAGUGAAAGACGCAAUUGCAUCACCUAAAGAAGAUACCGCGUUGGAUUAGCUAGUUGGUGAGGUAAAGGCCCACCAAGGCGAAGAUACAUAGCCGGCCUGAGAGGGUGGUCGGCCCCCUCGGGACUGGGGCACGGCCCCAGCUCCUUCCGGGGGCAGCCAGAGGGGAUCUUCGGCCAUGGGCGGAAGGCUGGCCGGGCCACGCCGCGUGGGUGGAGGAAGUUCUCGGGUCGUUAAACUCUGUUGAUAAGGGAGAACGUUAGUGGGAAUGAACAGCUCAUCAAGUGACGGUAACUACCCAGAAAGGGACGGCUAACUACGUG
This 497-nucleotide ribosomal RNA is filed under the name uncultured bacterium. RNAcentral's name for it is "partial 16S ribosomal RNA". It matches the Rfam family "Bacterial small subunit ribosomal RNA", at positions 28 to 507 of the family's 1533-position model. The record is from RNAcentral.